AGAGUUUGAUCAUGGCUCAGAAUAAACGCUGGCGGCGUGCCUAACACAUGCAAGUCGAACGAGAAAGGGGGUUCGCCCCCGAGUAAAGUGGCGUACGGGUGAGUAACGCGUAGGUAACCUACCCUGGAGUUGGGGAUAACAGUGCGAAAGCGCUGCUAAUACCCGAUACGACCCUUUGGCGGAGGCUGGAGGGUGAAGGUCCGCUGAUCCUUGGAAGCGGAUGAUCCGGGAUGGGCCUGCGUCCUAUCAGCUGGUUGGUAGGGUAACGGCCUACCAAGGCGACGACGGGUAGCUGGUCUGAGAGGAUGAUCAGCCACACUGGCACUGGAACACGGGCCAGACUCCUACGGGAGGCAGCAGUGAGGAAUUUUGCGCAAUGGCCGCAAGGCUGACGCAGCAACGCCGCGUGGGUGAAGAAGGCCUUCGGGUCGUAAAGCCCUGUCAGGUGGGAAGAAAUCCCCGGAGCGAACAGUGUCCGGGGCUUGACGGUACCACCAGAGGAAGCACCGGCUAACUCCGUGCCAGCAGCCGCGGCAAUACGGAGGGUGCGAGCGUUAUUCGGAAUUAUUGGGCGUAAAGCGCGUGCAGGCGGCCGAGCAAGUCUGAUGUGAAAGCCCCGGGCUUAACCUGGGAAGUGCAUUGGAAACUGCUUGGCUUGAGUACUGGAGAGGAAGGGGGAAUUCCCGGUGUAGAGGUGAAAUUCGUAGAGAUCGGGAGGAAUACCAGUGGCGAAGGCGCCCUUCUGGACGGUUACUGACGCUGAGACGCGAAAGCGUGGGGAGCAAACAGGAUUAGAUACCCUGGUAGUCCACGCUGUAAACGAUGAGCACUAGGUGUAGCGGGUACUCAUUCCUGCUGUGCCGCAGCUAACGCGUUAAGUGCUCCGCCUGGGGAUUACGGUCGCAAGACUAAAACUCAAAUGAAUUGACGG
RNAcentral lists this ribosomal RNA (931 nucleotides) under uncultured bacterium. RNAcentral's name for it is "bacterial SSU rRNA". It matches the Rfam family "Bacterial small subunit ribosomal RNA", at positions 8 to 916 of the family's 1533-position model. The record is from RNAcentral.